This 593-nucleotide ribosomal RNA is filed under the name uncultured bacterium. RNAcentral describes it as "partial 16S ribosomal RNA". It matches the Rfam family "Bacterial small subunit ribosomal RNA", at positions 788 to 1380 of the family's 1533-position model. The record is from RNAcentral.
UGGUAGUNCACGCCGUAAACGAUGAGUGCUAGGUGUUAGGCCCUUUCCGGGGCUUAGUGCCGGAGCUAACGCAAUAAGCACUCCGCCUGGGGAGUACGACCGCAAGGUUGAAACUCAAAGGAAUUGACGGGGGCCCGCACAAGCGGUGGAGUAUGUGGUUUAAUUCGAAGCAACGCGAAGAACCUUACCAGGUCUUGACAUCCCGAUGCUAUUCUUAGAGAUAGGAAGUUACUUCGGUACAUCGGAGACAGGUGGUGCAUGGUUGUCGUCAGCUCGUGUCGUGAGAUGUUGGGUUNANNNNNNNNNNNGAGCGCAACCCUUAUUGUUAGUUGCCAUCAUUAAGUUGGGCACUCUAGCGAGACUGCCGGUAAUAAACNGGAGGAAGGUGGGGAUGACGUCAAAUCAUCAUGCCCCUUAUGACCUGGGCUACACACGUGCUACAAUGGUCGGUACAACGAGUUGCGAGCCGGUGACGGCAAGCUAAUCUNUGAAAGCCGAUCUCAGUUCGGAUUGGAGGCUGCAACUCGCCUCCAUGAAGUCGGAAUCGCUAGUAAUCGCGGAUCAGCACGCCGCGGNGAAUACGUUCCCGGGCC